GGUCAGAGGGUGAUACCCUUCCAGCCUUGUAGGUCCUAUAUCCCAGAGGCCUUGAAGCCCUUUCUGUGAAUUUCCUCAGCUUGACAGCUACAAGAGGUGGAGUUGGGCAGAAAUGAAGCCCCAAGUGCGGGAGUGCUGUGGGACCACUGAGCGAGGUUGGUGAUGUUUUCAUAAUGGGUUCUGUAACAAAUCUCUCUACCGUGCCCCUUCUCAAGAGGAAGUUGCUUGUGGUGGGUAGUCCUUGUCUCUCCCUGGAUGCCAGAUGCUCUGCUGAGCCCAAGAUCCACCUCCAGCUCUGCCAGGACCUCUGUGUGACCUCUGGCACAUCACAUCCUCUCUCUGGAAUUCAGUGUCUUCGAAGGUUAGUUUUUUCUGCGAUGGCUGGAUUUGCCUUUCAGAAUAAUAAUCAUUAUUUAUGGAGUGUCAAGCACAUUGAACGAAGAACCCAAUGGUGCCAAAUCUCUCCACCAGCUUUAAGCCAUGAGGCACCUGGGAAUCUUAGCUCCUGACCAGGGAUGGAACCCAAACCCCCUCACUGGAAGAUGAAGUCUUAACCACUGGACAGCCAGGGAAGCCCCUGUUUCCUCUUUCUAAUUGCCCUCUUUCUGAGCCAAUACUGGAGAAGAGAGUCCUUGGCGCUUGGCCCUCGACCUGCCAUUAUGGAUAAUAGAGCCCUUGAUCUGGACGAGGCUCACAGCUCUCGACACAGGCAAGAGAUACAAUAUUGAAGCUACUUUCAGCCUUUUCUCUUUCCAUGGCAGACAUGUGAUGGCUGCAAAAGACAAGGAAGGUGCGGCCGCCAGGUGCAGAGGCAGGGAGGAGGCCAGGAGGGCAGGGCGAGGCCUGGUGGUGAUUAAGACAUUCUCAAUCAGGAGAGUGAAGCAGAAACGUCAGAGCAGCUCCCAUCUGAAUGGUCUGAAAGGCCACAGCAGCAGCUGACAGGGACUGGUUUGGUGGCAGAGGGAGGUUAGUGGGCCACAGAUCAAUUCCCAGCCGUCCAGGGUGGCAUCUCAGGAUGGCCUUCACCAGGGGAGGGGAGCAACUCUGAACCUCAGCAGGGUGGGAGAGCCAACAGCCCGGGUGCUCUUAACACACUCAGUAGUCCUCCAACUUGAGAGCACUUCAGAAUCACCCGCAGAUCUUGUUUAAAACUCAGAUUCCUGGGCCAUCAGGUGGUUUUGCCCUGCCAACUGUCGUGACCCAAAGCCCUGGAGUUCCUGUGGAUGGAAGCUGGACUCUCCCUUCUGCUCUGUUUACAUCCUAGAAAAGGGCACUGAGCCCACCUUUGGGGGCCCUAACAGGCAUGCCCGCCAGGGCCAGAUUGGUCCCUAACUAACGCUGGGUAGUGGACCCCUCUGCAGGGCAUGUGGGUUGCAGUCAAGCUCCACCCACAGAAGCUCCGUUCUUGCACUGAAAUGGUUGGCCAGGGACUUCCCUGGUGGUCCAGUGGCUAAGAUUCUGUGCUCCCAAUGCAGAGGGCACAGGUUCGAUCCCUGGUCGGGGAACUAGGAUCCCGAAUGCCACAGGGUAGGACCUGAAA
Long non-coding RNA from Bos taurus (domestic cattle), 1540 nucleotides. Lineage: Eukaryota; Metazoa; Chordata; Mammalia; Artiodactyla; Bovidae. The record is from Ensembl.